GAGCACUGUUUCGGCAAGGGGGUCAUCCCGACUUACCAACCCGAUGCAAACUGCGAAUACCGGAGAAUGUUAUCACGGGAGACACACGGCGGGUGCUAACGUCCGUCGUGAAGAGGGAAACAACCCAGACCGCCAGCUAAGGUCCCAAAGUCAUGGUUAAGUGGGAAACGAUGUGGGAAGGCCCAGACAGCCAGGAUGUUGGCUUAGAAGCAGCCAUCAUUUAAAGAAAGCGUAAUAGCUCACUGGUCGAGUCGGCCUGCGCGGAAGAUGUAACGGGGCUAAACCAUGCACCGAAGCUGCGGCAGCGACACUGUGUGUUGUUGGGUAGGGGAGCGUUCUGUAAGCCUGUGAAGGUGUGCUGUGAGGCAUGCUGGAGGUAUCAGAAGUGCGAAUGCUGACAUAAGUAACGAUAAAGCGGGUGAAAAGCCCGCUCGCCGGAAGACCAAGGGUUCCUGUCCAACGUUAAUCGGGGCAGGGUGAGUCGACCCCUAAGGCGAGGCCGAAAGGCGUAGUCGAUGGGAAACAGGUUAAUAUUCCUGUACUUGGUGUUACUGCGAAGGGGGGACGGAGAAGGCUAUGUUGGCCGGGCGACGGUUGUCCCGGUUUAAGCGUGUAGGCUGGUUUUCCAGGCAAAUCCGGAAAAUCAAGGCUGAGGCGUGAUGACGAGGCACUACGGUGCUGAAGCAACAAAUGCCCUGCUUCCAGGAAAAGCCUCUAAGCAUCAGGUAACAUCAAAUCGUACCCCAAACCGACACAGGUGGUCAGGUAGAGAAUACCAAGGCGCUUGAGAGAACUCGGGUGAAGGAACUAGGCAAAAUGGUGCCGUAACUUCGGGAGAAGGCACGCUGAUAUGUAGGUGAAGUCCCUCGCGGAUGGAGCUGAAAUCAGUCGAAGAUACCAGCUGGCUGCAACUGUUUAUUAAAAACACAGCACUGUGCAAACACGAAAGUGGACGUAUACGGUGUGACGCCUGCCCGGUGCCGGAAGGUUAAUUGAUGGGGUCAGCGCAAGCGAAGCUCUUGAUCGAAGCCCCGGUAAACGGCGGCCGUAACUAUAACGGUCCUAAGGUAGCGAAAUUCCUUGUCGGGUAAGUUCCGACCUGCACGAAUGGCGUAAUGAUGGCCAGGCUGUCUCCACCCGAGACUCAGUGAAAUUGAACUCGCUGUGAAGAUGCAGUGUACCCGCGGCAAGACGGAAAGACCCCGUGAACCUUUACUAUAGCUUGACACUGAACAUUGAGCCUUGAUGUGUAGGAUAGGUGGGAGGCUUUGAAGUGUGGACGCCAGUCUGCAUGGAGCCGACCUUGAAAUACCACCCUUUAAUGUUUGAUGUUCUAACGUGGACCCGUGAUCCGGGUUGCGGACAGUGUCUGGUGGGUAGUUUGACUGGGGCGGUCUCCUCCUAAAGAGUAACGGAGGAGCACGAAGGUUGGCUAAUCCUGGUCGGACAUCAGGAGGUUAGUGCAAUGGCAUAAGCCAGCUUGACUGCGAGCGUGACGGCGCGAGCAGGUGCGAAAGCAGGUCAUAGUGAUCCGGUGGUUCUGAAUGGAAGGGCCAUCGCUCAACGGAUAAAAGGUACUCCGGGGAUAACAGGCUGAUACCGCCCAAGAGUUCAUAUCGACGGCGGUGUUUGGCACCUCGAUGUCGGCUCAUCACAUCCUGGGGCUGAAGUAGGUCCCAAGGGUAUGGCUGUUCGCCAUUUAAAGUGGUACGCGAGCUGGGUUUAGAACGUCGUGAGACAGUUCGGUCCCUAUCUGCCGUGGGCGCUGGAGAACUGAGGGGGGCUGCUCCUAGUACGAGAGGACCGGAGUGGACGCAUCACUGGUGUUCGGGUUGUCAUGCCAAUGGCACUGCCCGGUAGCUAAAUGCGGAAGAGAUAAGUGCUGAAAGCAUCUAAGCACGAAACUUGCCCCGAGAUGAGUUCUCCCUGACCCUUUAAGGGUCCUGAAGGAACGUUGAAGACGACGACGUUGAUAGGCCGGGUGUGUAAGCGCAGCGAUGCGUUGAGCUAACCGGUACUAAUGAACCGUGAGGCUUAACCUUACAACGCCGAAGGUGUUU
RNAcentral lists this ribosomal RNA (2060 nucleotides) under Escherichia coli. RNAcentral describes it as "partial 23S ribosomal RNA". It matches the Rfam family "Bacterial large subunit ribosomal RNA", at positions 905 to 2925 of the family's 2925-position model. The record is from RNAcentral. Lineage: Bacteria; Pseudomonadati; Pseudomonadota; Gammaproteobacteria; Enterobacterales; Enterobacteriaceae.